This 353-nucleotide ribosomal RNA is filed under the name uncultured bacterium. RNAcentral describes it as "bacterial SSU rRNA". It matches the Rfam family "Bacterial small subunit ribosomal RNA", at positions 28 to 382 of the family's 1533-position model. The record is from RNAcentral.
GACGAACGCUGGCGGCGUGCUUAACACAUGCAAGUCGAGCGGUAAGGCCCUUUCGGGGGUACACGAGCGGCGAACGGGUGAGUAACACGUGGGUGACCUGCCCUCAGCUCUGGGAUAAGCCUGGGAAACCGGGUCUAAUACUGGAUAUGACUCCAUGACGCAUGUUGUGGGGUGGAAAGCCUUGUGCGGCUGAGGAUGGGCCCGCGGCCUAUCAGCUUGUUGGUGGGGUGAUGGCCUACCAAGGCGACGACGGGUAGCCGGCCUGAGAGGGCGACCGGCCACACUGGGACUGAGACACGGCCCAGACUCCUACGGGAGGCAGCAGUGGGGAAUCUUGCGCAAUGGGCGAAGAC